GACGAACGCUGGCGGCGUGCUUAACACAUGCAAGUCGAACGGAAAGGCCCUGCUUUUGUGGGGUGCUCGAGUGGCGAACGGGUGAGUAACACGUGAGUAACCUGCCCUUGACUUUGGGAUAACUUCAGGAAACUGGGACUAAUACCGGAUAGGAGCUCCUGCUGCAUGGUGGGGGUUGGAAAGUUUCGGCGGUUGGGGAUGGACUCGCGGCUUAUCAGCUUGUUGGUGGGGUAGUGGCUUACCAAGGCUUUGACGGGUAGCCGGCCUGAGAGGGUGACCGGCCACAUUGGGACUGAGAUACGGCCCAGACUCCUACGGGAGGCAGCAGUGGGGAAUAUUGCACAAUGGGCGGAAGCCUGAUGCAGCAACGCCGCGUGCGGGAUGACGGCCUUCGGGUUGUAAACCGCUUUCGCCUGUGACGAAGCGUGAGUGACGGUAAUGGGUAAAGAAGCACCGGCUAACUACGUGCCAGCAGCCGCGGUGAUACGUAGGGUGCGAGCGUUGUCCGGAUUUAUUGGGCGUAAAGGGCUCGUAGGUGGUUGAUCGCGUCGGAAGUGUAAUCUUGGGGCUUAACCCUGAGCGUGCUUUCGAUACGGGUUGACUUGAGGAAGGUAGGGGAGAAUGGAAUUCCUGGUGGAGCGGUGGAAUGCGCAGAUAUCAGGAGGAACACCAGUGGCGAAGGCGGUUCUCUGGGCCUUUCCUGACGCUGAGGAGCGAAAGCGUGGGGAGCGAACAGGCUUAGAUACCCUGGUAGUCCACGCUGUAAACGGUGGGUACUAGGUGUGGGGUCCAUUCCACGGGUUCCGUGCCGUAGCUAACGCUUUAAGUACCCCGCCUGGGGAGUACGGCCGCAAGGCUAAAACUCAAAGGAAUUGACGGGGCCCCGCACAAGCGGCGGAGCAUGCGGAUUAAUUCGAUGCAACGCGUAGAACCUUACCUGGGUUUGACAUGGAUCGGGAGUGCUCAGAGAUGGGUGUGCCUCUUUUGGGGUCGGUUCACAGGUGGUGCAUGCCUGUCGUCAGCUCGUGUCGUGAGAUGUUGGGUUAAGUCCCGCAACGAGCGCAACCCUUGUUCACUGUUGCCAGCACGUUAUGGUGGGGACUCAGUGGAGACCGCCGGGGUCAACUCGGAGGAAGGUGGGGAUGACGUCAAGUCAUCAUGCCCCUUAUGUCCAGGGCUUCACGCAUGCUACAAUGGCUGGUACAGAGAGUGGCGAGCCUGUGAGGGUGAGCGAAUCUCGGAAAGCCGGUCUCAGUUCGGAUUGGGGUCUGCAGCUCGACCUCAUGAAGUCGGAGUCGCUAGUAAUCGCAGAUCAGCAACGCUGCGGUGAAUACGUUCCCGGG
This 1343-nucleotide ribosomal RNA is filed under the name uncultured bacterium. RNAcentral describes it as "16S ribosomal RNA". It matches the Rfam family "Bacterial small subunit ribosomal RNA", at positions 28 to 1378 of the family's 1533-position model. The record is from RNAcentral.